UGGGGGCAACCCUGAUCCAGCCAUGCCGCGUGUGUGAAGAAGGCUUUCGGGUUGUAAAGCACUUUCAGUGAGGAGGAAGGCCUUAAGGUUAAUACCCUUGAGGAUUGACGUUACUCACAGAAGAAGCACCGGCUAACUCCGUGCCAGCAGCCGCGGUAAUACGGAGGGUGCAAGCGUUAAUCGGAAUUACUGGGCGUAAAGCGCGCGUAGGUGGUUUGAUAAGCGAGAUGUGAAAGCCCCGGGCUUAACCUGGGAACGGCAUUUCGAACUGUCAGGCUAGAGUGUGGUAGAGGGUAGUGGAAUUUCCUGUGUAGCGGUGAAAUGCGUAGAUAUAGGAAGGAACACCAGUGGC
Molecule: ribosomal RNA, 352 nt
Filed under: Marinobacter sp. DR-1
Lineage: Bacteria; Pseudomonadati; Pseudomonadota; Gammaproteobacteria; Pseudomonadales; Marinobacteraceae
Description: bacterial SSU rRNA
Rfam family: Bacterial small subunit ribosomal RNA
Source: RNAcentral